CGUAACACGUGAGCAACAUUCCGAUUUCUGGGGGAUAGCCGGCCCAACGGCCGGGUAAUACCGCAUACGCUCAUUGAGAGGAGUCUCUCGAUGAGGAAACCUCCGGGGGAAAUCGAGUGGCUCGCGGCCUAUCAGCUAGUUGGCGGGGUAAUGGCCCACCAAGGCAAUGACGGGUAGCUGGUCUGAGAGGAUGGCCAGCCACAUUGGGACUGAGAAACGGCCCAG
This 225-nucleotide ribosomal RNA is filed under the name uncultured bacterium. RNAcentral describes it as "partial 16S ribosomal RNA". It matches the Rfam family "Bacterial small subunit ribosomal RNA", at positions 109 to 334 of the family's 1533-position model. The record is from RNAcentral.